CCUACGGGAGGCAGCAGUGAGGAAUAUUGGUCAAUGGGCGCAAGCCUGAACCAGCCAAGUCGCGUGAGGGAUGACGGUCCUAUGGAUUGUAAACCUCUUUUGUCGGGGAGAAAGGCCCGCCACGUGUGGCUGGAAGGAGAGUACCCGAAGAAAAAGCAUCGGCCAACUCCGUUCCGGCGGCCGCGGUAAUACGGGGGAUGCGAGGGUUAUCGGGCUUUAUUGGGUUUAAGGGGUGCGUAGGCGGAAGGUUAAGUCAGCGGGAAAAUGUCGGGGCUCACCACCGGCCUGCAGUUGAGACUGGUCGUCUUGAGUGAGCGAGAGGUAGGCGGAAUGCGUGGUGUAGCGGUGAAAUGCAUAGAUAUCACGCAGAACUCCGAUUGCGAAGGCAGCAUACUGGCGCUCAACUGACGCUGAGGCACGAAAGCGUGGGGAUCGAACAGGAUUAGAUACCCUUGUAGUC
Molecule: ribosomal RNA, 460 nt
Filed under: uncultured bacterium
Lineage: Bacteria
Description: partial 16S ribosomal RNA
Rfam family: Bacterial small subunit ribosomal RNA
Source: RNAcentral